RNAcentral lists this transfer-messenger RNA (333 nucleotides) under Salinarimonas soli. Its description in RNAcentral is "Salinarimonas sp. BN140002 transfer-messenger RNA". It matches the Rfam family "Alphaproteobacteria transfer-messenger RNA". From Rfam's summary of the family: Bacterial tmRNA, also known as 10Sa RNA or SsrA, is named for its dual tRNA and mRNA-like properties. Its role is to liberate the mRNA from a stalled ribosome. Lineage: Bacteria; Pseudomonadati; Pseudomonadota; Alphaproteobacteria; Hyphomicrobiales; Salinarimonadaceae. The record is from RNAcentral.
GUGCUUGACUCUCGCCGCGCAAACCCCACUUUGGGGGGGUCGGGGUAACCCGGCUAUGAUCGUAGAGGCAGUUCAGAAUAGACGUUAGGGACGGGGGUUCAAUUCCCCCCACCUCCACCAUGACGGCAGGCGGGUUCUGCCGUGAUGGGGGGGGUGACAUGGGUUCGACCUGGCGUGGUAAAGGUCCGGCUGCGAUUAGGCUGAGGUACGGCCUGGACUAUGUCCGAAUGUCCGCAAUCACAACUGCCAACGACAACGUUGACAUGCGUGCGGUCCGCCUCGCGGCGUGACCAAACGGGGCUCGGGAAAGCCUAGCAACAGAAACGGGACCUU